CAGUCGCCGCGGUAAUACGAACCGUCCGAACGUUAUUCGGAAUUACUGGGCGUAAAGGGUGCGUAGGCGGUUUCGUAAGUCUUAUGUGAAAUCUAUGGGCUCAACCCAUAGUCUGCAUGGGAAACUGCGAGGCUUGAGGAUGGGAGAGGUGAGUGGAAUUUCCGGUGUAGCGGUGAAAUGCGUAGAUAUCGGAAGGAACACCUGUGGCGAAAGCGGCUCACUGGACCAUUUCUGACGCUGAUGCACGAAAGCUAGGGGAGCAAACAGGAUUAGAUACCCCCGUAGUCCCUGUCUCUUAUAC
This 301-nucleotide ribosomal RNA is filed under the name uncultured bacterium. Its description in RNAcentral is "partial 16S ribosomal RNA". It matches the Rfam family "Bacterial small subunit ribosomal RNA", at positions 509 to 807 of the family's 1533-position model. The record is from RNAcentral.